Molecule: long non-coding RNA, 190 nt
Organism: Carassius carassius (crucian carp)
Lineage: Eukaryota; Metazoa; Chordata; Actinopteri; Cypriniformes; Cyprinidae
Exons: 3
Source: RefSeq, a predicted model, not a curated record
AGCUCCACUGCGCAUGUCUCAGCCAGACCAUGACGGAGACGGCUGGUGUGCUGCUCACCCUAACACACAAGAGCACACGUUUGCUGUCCUGAGACCCUCAGGGGACCACCAAGGAAGAGGCCAGACUCCAGUGGGCGUCUCUCAGGCAGAGCAUCAUGGAGACGGCUGGAGUGCUCACCCACCUGACACA